UCAGCCGGCCGGACGGCCGCCGCCGCAACGCUCGAAAGGGUGCGGGGGAGGAAAGUCCGGGCUCCACGGAACCACGGUGCCGGAUAACGUCCGGCGGGGGCGACCCCAGGGACAGUGCCACAGAGACGAAACCGCCGGGGCUUGCCCCGGCAAGGGUGAAAAGGUGGGGUAAGAGCCCACCGCGCGACCGGCAACGGAAGCGGCUUGGUAAACCCCACCGGGAGCAAAACCGAAUAGGGACGACAGGGGGCAACCCCGGGCGUGGAUCCGCGCCGUCGUCCGGGUAGGUUGCCAGAGCGUCCGAGCAAUCGGCCGCCUAGAGGAAUGGCCGUCACGCGGGAGCAAUCCCGCCCCACAGAACCCGGCUUACAGGCCGACUGACAUA
Molecule: RNase P RNA, 385 nt
Filed under: Phreatobacter oligotrophus
Lineage: Bacteria; Pseudomonadati; Pseudomonadota; Alphaproteobacteria; Hyphomicrobiales; Phreatobacteraceae
Description: Bacterial RNase P class A
Rfam family: Bacterial RNase P class A
About the family: Ribonuclease P (RNase P) is a ubiquitous endoribonuclease, found in archaea, bacteria and eukarya as well as chloroplasts and mitochondria. Its best characterised activity is the generation of mature 5'-ends of tRNAs by cleaving the 5'-leader elements of precursor-tRNAs.
Source: RNAcentral